This 497-nucleotide ribosomal RNA is filed under the name uncultured bacterium. Its description in RNAcentral is "partial 16S ribosomal RNA". It matches the Rfam family "Bacterial small subunit ribosomal RNA", at positions 28 to 507 of the family's 1533-position model. The record is from RNAcentral.
GAUGAACGCUGGCGGCGUGCCUAAUACAUGCAAGUCGAGCGAACAGAUGAGGAGCUUGCUCCUCUGUCGUUAGCGGCGGACGGGUGAGUAACACGUGGAUAAUCUACCUAUAAGACUGGGAUAACUUCGGGAAACCGGAGCUAAUACCGGAUAAUAUAUUGAACCGCAUGGUUCAAUAGUGAAAGACGGUUUUGCUGUCACUUAUAGAUGGAUCCGCGCCGGAUUAGCUGGUUGGUAAGGUAACGGCUUACCAAGGCAACGAUGCGUAGCCGACCUGAGAGGGUGGUCGGCCACACUGGAACUGAGACACGGUCCAGGCGCCUACGAGAGGCAGCAGUAGGGAAUCGGCCGCAGUAGGCGAAAGCCUUACGGAGCAGCGCCGCGUGAGUUAUAGAGGUCUUCGGAUCGUGAAACUCUGUUAUGAGGUGAAAACAAAUGUGUAAGGAACUAUGCACGUCGUGACGGUACCGAAUCAGAAAGCCACGGCUAACUACGUG